GAUGAACGCUGGCGGCGUGCUUAACACAUGCAAGUCGAACGGAAAGGCUCCUGCUUGCAGGGGUACUCGAGUGGCGAACGGGUGAGUAACACGUGGGUGAUCUGCCCUGCACUUCGGGAUAAGCCUGGGAAACUGGGUCUAAUACCGGAUAGGACGAUGGUUUGGAUGCCAUUGUGGAAAGUUUUUCGGUGUGGGAUGAGCUCGCGGCCUAUCAGCUUGUUGGUGGGGUAAUGGCCUACCAAGGCGUCGACGGGUAGCCGGCCUGAGAGGGUGUGCGGCCACAUUGGGACUGAGAUGCGGCCCAGGCUCCUACGGGAGGCAGCAGUGGGGAAUAUUGCACAAUGGGCGCAAGCCUGAUGCAGCGACGCCGCGUGGGGGAUGACGGCCUUCGGGUUGUAAACUCCUUUCGCUAGGGACGAAGCGCAAGUGACGGUACCUGGAGAAGAAGCACCGGCUAACUACGUG
RNAcentral lists this ribosomal RNA (465 nucleotides) under uncultured bacterium. RNAcentral describes it as "partial 16S ribosomal RNA". It matches the Rfam family "Bacterial small subunit ribosomal RNA", at positions 28 to 507 of the family's 1533-position model. The record is from RNAcentral.